UGCAGGCUCUAUUUCUGGCAGCUCAACUUAAGCGUGAGGAGAAGGGGUCCACCUAGAAGGAACCUUGGUUUCAGAAGAACAGUUCUUGCCCAUUUCUCCGCCAUGGUCCAACCGUUUCUCUUCCUCCUCUUCCUCCUCACCUACUUCAUUGGUGCCUCGGCCCAGUUCACCAUGACUCAGCCACCUUCUGUGUCGGCCUCCCCUGGAGAAACAGU
Non-coding RNA from Protobothrops mucrosquamatus (brown spotted pit viper), 215 nucleotides. Lineage: Eukaryota; Metazoa; Chordata; Lepidosauria; Squamata; Viperidae. The record is from the annotation of a RefSeq genome assembly.